GAUGAAGAACGCAGCGAAAUGCGAUAAGUAGUGUGAAUUGCAGAAGUACCGUGAAUCAUCGAAUCUUUGAACGCAAAUUGCACUCUCUGGUAUUCCGGGGAGUAUGCCUGUUUGAGGGUCGCUUAACAAACCAUCGAUUUCGUUGAUUUUUUUUUUUAAAGUGAUGUUUAUCGGAUUUGAGCCGUCUUUUUUUUUAUAUUUAAGUGGCUUAAAAUUGAUUUUUUUGGUACGAUCGAAGCGUAUUUUUAUGAUCAAUUUUUGGUUAAAGAAACGCACACGUACCGUUAUUUAUAUGAUGUAAUACGUUUGACUAUUGGAUUUAGUCCAUUCGUAUACGAUAUCUUUCAAUAUUUGACCUCAAAUCAGGUAAGAACACCCGCUGAACUUAAGCAUAUCAAUAAGCGGAGGA
RNAcentral lists this unclassified non-coding RNA (409 nucleotides) under soil metagenome. RNAcentral's name for it is "partial contains 5.8S ribosomal RNA, internal transcribed spacer 2, and large subunit ribosomal RNA". The stretch from base 1 to 121 matches the Rfam family "5.8S ribosomal RNA", at positions 35 to 154 of the family's 154-position model. The record is from RNAcentral.